UAACGAAUCUUCCGCAAUGGGCGCAAGCCUGACGGAGCAAUGCCGCGUGUGGGAUGAAGCGGCUACGCCGUGUAAACCACUGUCAGGGGGCAGGAACAAUGACCGCCCCCAGAGGAAGAGCCGGCUAACCCUGUGCCAGCAGCCGCGGUAAUACAGGGGGCUCGAGCGUUAGUCGGAAUCACUGGGCUUAAAGGGUGCGUAGGCGGCUCGCCAAGUGCUUUGUGAAAUCCCACAGCUCAACUGUGGAACAGCAGGGCAAACUGGCGGGCUUGAGGCAGGUAGGGGCCGGAAGAACAGUUGGUGGAGCGGUGAAAUGCGUAGAUAUCAACUGGAAUGCCGAUGGGGAAGCCGUCCGGCUGGGCCUGUCCUGACGCUGAGGCACGAAAGCGUGGGGAGCAAACAGGAUUAGAUACCCCCGUAGUCC
RNAcentral lists this ribosomal RNA (424 nucleotides) under uncultured bacterium. RNAcentral describes it as "bacterial SSU rRNA". It matches the Rfam family "Bacterial small subunit ribosomal RNA", at positions 355 to 796 of the family's 1533-position model. The record is from RNAcentral.